RNAcentral lists this transfer RNA (77 nucleotides) under Desulfovibrio sp. X2. RNAcentral's name for it is "tRNA-Arg". It matches the Rfam family "tRNA". Rfam says of the family: Transfer RNA (tRNA) molecules are approximately 80 nucleotides in length. Their secondary structure includes four short double-helical elements and three loops (D, anti-codon, and T loops). Lineage: Bacteria; Pseudomonadati; Thermodesulfobacteriota; Desulfovibrionia; Desulfovibrionales; Desulfovibrionaceae. The record is from RNAcentral.
GUCCCCGUAGCUCAGCAGGAUAGAGCAGCUGCCUCCUAAGCAGCAGGCCGUGCGUUCGAAUCGCGCCGGGGACGCCA